AUACGGAGGGGGUUAGUGUUGUUCGGAAUUACUGGGCGUAAAGCGCGCGUAGGCGGCCUGCCAAGUUGGGCGUGAAAGCCCGGGGCUCAACCCCGGAAUUGCGUUCAAAACUGGCAAGCUAGAGACCGAGAGAGGUGAGUGGAAUUCCCAGUGUAGAGGUGAAAUGCGUAGAUAUCGGGAGGAACACCAGUGGCGAAGGCGGCUUCCUGGACCAACACUGACACUGAGGCGCGAAAGCGUGGGGAGCAAACAGGAUUAGAAACCCGAGUAGUCC
RNAcentral lists this ribosomal RNA (274 nucleotides) under uncultured bacterium. Its description in RNAcentral is "partial 16S ribosomal RNA". It matches the Rfam family "Bacterial small subunit ribosomal RNA", at positions 523 to 796 of the family's 1533-position model. The record is from RNAcentral.